This 465-nucleotide ribosomal RNA is filed under the name uncultured bacterium. RNAcentral's name for it is "bacterial SSU rRNA". It matches the Rfam family "Bacterial small subunit ribosomal RNA", at positions 28 to 507 of the family's 1533-position model. The record is from RNAcentral.
GACGAACGCUGGCGGCGCGCUUAACACAUGCAAGUCGUGCGGUGUCGAAGGCAAGUCUUACGACAAGCCUUCGACACAGCGGCGAACGGGUGAGUAACACGUGAGUAGCUGUCCUAAGGAGGGGGAUAACGCCUGGAAACGGGGUGCUAAUGCCCCAUAUGCCUCGCAAGAGGUGAAAGUGUACUUGUUACAGCCUUAGGGUGUGCUCGCGGCCUAUCAGCUAGUUGGUGAGGUAACGGCUCACCAAGGCUAAGACGGGUAGCCGGCCUGAGAGGGUGGCCCCCCACAAUGGAACUGAAACACGGUCCAUACACCUACGGGUGGCAGCAGUAGGGAAUAUUAGAAAUGGACGAAAGUCUGAUCUAGCAACACCGCGUGUGCGAAGAAGGCCUUCGGGUUGUAAAGCACUUUUUGGAAGGAUUAGGAAGGAAUGUACUUCCAGAAUAAGUCUCGGCUAACUACGUG